CCUACGGGUGGCAGCAGUAGGGAAUCUUCCACAAUGGGCGAAAGCCUGAUGGAGCGACGCCGCGUGGGUGAAGAAGGUCUUCGGAUCGUAACACCCUGUUGUUAGAGAAGAACGUUCGUGGUAGUAACUGUUCACGUUUCGACGGUAUCUACCCAGAAAGCACCGGCUAACUACGUGCCAGCAGCCGCGGUAAUACGGAGGUGGCCAGCGUUAUCCGGAUUUAUUGGGCGUAAAGGGAACGCAGGCGGUCUUUUAAGUCUGAUGUGAAAGCCUUGGGCUUAACGUGCGUAGUGCAUUGGAAACUGGGAGACUUGAGUGUAGAAGAGGAGAGUGGAACUCCAUGUGUAGCGGUGAAAUGCGUAGAUAUAUGGAAGAACACCAGUGGCGAAGGCGGCUAUCUGGUCUGUAACUGACGCUGAGGUGCGAAAGCGUGGGUAGCAAACAGGAUUAGAUACCCUUGUAGUC
Molecule: ribosomal RNA, 465 nt
Filed under: uncultured bacterium
Lineage: Bacteria
Description: partial 16S ribosomal RNA
Rfam family: Bacterial small subunit ribosomal RNA
Source: RNAcentral